UGGGGAAUUUUGGACAAUGGGCGAAAGCCUGAUCCAGCAAUGCCGCGUGUGUGAAGAAGGCCUUCGGGUUGUAAAGCACUUUUGUCCGGAAAGAAAAUCCUUGGCUCUAAUACAGUCGGGGGAUGACGGUACCGGAAGAAUAAGCACCGGCUAACUACGUGCCAGCAGCCGCGGUAAUACGUAGGGUGCAAGCGUUAAUCGGAAUUACUGGGCGUAAAGCGUGCGCAGGCGGUUUGCUAAGACCGAUGUGAAAUCCCCGGGCUCAACCUGGGAACUGCAUUGGUGACUGGCAGGCUAGAGUAUGGCAGAGGGGGGUAGAAUUCCACGUGUGAGCAAGUGAAAAUGCGUAGAGAUGUGGAGGAAUACCGAUGGCGAAGGCGAG
RNAcentral lists this ribosomal RNA (382 nucleotides) under uncultured bacterium. RNAcentral's name for it is "partial 16S ribosomal RNA". It matches the Rfam family "Bacterial small subunit ribosomal RNA", at positions 355 to 725 of the family's 1533-position model. The record is from RNAcentral.